GACGAACGCUGGCGGCAGGCUUAACACAUGCAAGUCGAACGCAUCCUUCGGGGUGAGUGGCAGACGGGUGAGUAACGCGUGGGAACGUGCCCUUCAGAUCGGGAUAACCCAGGGAAACUUGGGCUAAUACCGGAUACGUGCGAGAGCAGAAAGAUUUAUCGCUGAAGGAUCGGCCCGCGUCUGAUUAGCUAGUUGGUGGGGUAAUGGCCCACCAAGGCGACGAUCAGUAGCUGGUCUGAGAGGAUGAUCAGCCACAUUGGGACUGAGACACGGCCCAAACUCCUACGGGAGGCAGCAGUGGGGAAUAUUGGACAAUGGGCGCAAGCCUGAUCCAGCCAUGCCGCGUGAGUGAUGAAGGCCUUCGGGGUGUAAAGCCCUUUCAGUGGGGAAGAUAAUGACGGUACCCGCAGAAGAAGCCCCGGCUAACUUCGUGCCAGCCGCCGCGGUAA
This 449-nucleotide ribosomal RNA is filed under the name uncultured bacterium. RNAcentral describes it as "partial 16S ribosomal RNA". It matches the Rfam family "Bacterial small subunit ribosomal RNA", at positions 28 to 523 of the family's 1533-position model. The record is from RNAcentral.